CAGCAGCCGCGGUAAUACAGAGGUCUCAAGCGUUGUUCGGAUUCAUCGGGCGUAAAGGGUGCGUAGGUGGCUUGGUAAGUUGAAGGUGAAAUCUCGGGGCUUAACUCCGAAACUGCCUUCAAUACUGCUGAGCUCGAGGAUUGUAGAGGAGAAUGGAAUUCACGGUGUAGCAGUGAAAUGCGUAGAUAUCGUGAGGAAGACCAGUGGCGAAGGCGAUUCUCUGGGCAAUUCCUGACACUGAGGCACGAAGGCCAGGGGAGCAAACGGGAUUAGAGACCCCGGUAGUCCCUGUCUCUUAUAC
RNAcentral lists this ribosomal RNA (301 nucleotides) under uncultured bacterium. Its description in RNAcentral is "partial 16S ribosomal RNA". It matches the Rfam family "Bacterial small subunit ribosomal RNA", at positions 509 to 807 of the family's 1533-position model. The record is from RNAcentral.